This is a non-coding RNA of marine gamma proteobacterium HTCC2148, 97 nucleotides long. It matches the Rfam family "Bacterial small signal recognition particle RNA". From Rfam's summary of the family: The signal recognition particle (SRP) is a universally conserved ribonucleoprotein involved in the co-translational targeting of proteins to membranes. Lineage: Bacteria; Pseudomonadati; Pseudomonadota; Gammaproteobacteria; Cellvibrionales; Halieaceae. The record is from Rfam.
AGGCGGUCCCCUCGCAACGAUAGAUAGCGAACCCGGCCAGGCCCGGAAGGGAGCAACCGUAGUUAUCAAAUCGUGUGCCGAGGUGUGGCUGUCUGGG